RNAcentral lists this ribosomal RNA (536 nucleotides) under uncultured bacterium. RNAcentral's name for it is "partial 16S ribosomal RNA". It matches the Rfam family "Bacterial small subunit ribosomal RNA", at positions 355 to 883 of the family's 1533-position model. The record is from RNAcentral.
UGGGGAAUUUUGGACAAUGGGGGAAACCCUGAUCCAGCCAUCCCGCGUGUGCGAUGAAGGCCUUCGGGUUGUAAAGCACUUUUGGCAGGAAAGAAACGUCGCGGGUUAAUACCCCGCGGAACUGACGGUACCUGCAUGAAUAAGCACCGGCUAACUACGUGCCAGCAGCCGCGGUAAUACGUAGGGUGCAAGCGUUAAUCGGAAUUACUGGGCGUAAAGCGUGCGCAGGCGGUUCGGAAAGAAAGAUGUGAAAUCCCAGAGCUUAACUUUGGAACUGCAUUUUUAACUACCGGGCUAGAGUGUGUCAGAGGGAGGUGGAAUUCCGCGUGUAGCAGUGAAAUGCGUAGAUAUGCGGAGGAACACCGAUGGCGAAGGCAGCCUCCUGGGAUAACACUGACGCUCAUGCACGAAAGCGUGGGGAGCAAACAGGAUUAGAUACCCUGGUAGUCCACGCCCUAAACGAUGUCAACUAGCUGUUGGGGUCUUCGGACCUUGGUAGCGCAGCUAACGCGUGAAGUUGACCGCCUGGGGAGUAC